This is a long non-coding RNA of Xenia sp. Carnegie-2017, 603 nucleotides long. RefSeq lists it as uncharacterized. The transcript has 2 exons. The record is from RefSeq and is a predicted model, not a curated record. NCBI's taxonomy places the organism in Eukaryota, Metazoa, Cnidaria, Anthozoa, Malacalcyonacea, Xeniidae.
GGUUAAUCAUUUUUACUGUUAUUGUCCUGACUUGAUCAUUAUUUACUGAAAGCUACAUAAAAUAAUCAUUUAUUCUGAUAACUUGGAGGCUGGAAAAUACUUUUGAUAAAGAGGAAUACAAAUCAGAGACUGAAUGUAAUAGUUUAUGCAUUUUCACUAUAUUUGACAGGAAAAACAGAAGAAAAGCCUUGAUGCAUAAAUAGUGUGGUGUGCCAGAACUGUCAGUAAUAUGAAUGUAAGGUUGUAACAUAUGGUUGCAAAUUUCAUACAUACAGAUUUUCAUGGAAUUUUUGUAAGAACUACAACGUGAUCAAUGAUGUUUCCAAUUAUUAGUUGUGUCCAAAAUAAUUUUAUACAUUUUUUAGAAUUGAUAUGUACUAUAGAUGAUAUCUAUUAUAUGUACUAUAUGUAGAUAAAAAUGGUAAAAUUACAAUAGAAACUCCAAGGAUAUGGUGCCUAAUGAAAUCCACUUAAAUAACACCAUGAAAAAAUCUUUUUUCAAAACGUAUCAACUUUUUUAAAAAAGAAUGUAUUUAUAGUCACAUAAAGUCACCCAGGUAGUCCUACAAAGUAAAAGGUCAAGAUUAAAAGUGCCAAGGAUUA